Molecule: long non-coding RNA, 566 nt
Organism: Thunnus maccoyii (southern bluefin tuna)
Lineage: Eukaryota; Metazoa; Chordata; Actinopteri; Scombriformes; Scombridae
Exons: 3
Source: RefSeq, a predicted model, not a curated record
GGACAGGGGAAACACUUCUCAGUCAAAGAACAAAAGCAACAACGGACGGACGGAGGAGGACGAAGUGUCGGCCACUCAAAUUCACAGCUGAAUCUGUCGGAUUGGAGAUUUGAGCCCUCUACGGCAGGAAUCAGCCGACGCCUGAACUCCCACGAAAAGGCGACAAACUUGUGUCGCCUCGCAUCUUUGUAUCCCGACUGUAAUCCGUCGAGUUGCUUGAUAAAUAAGACAAGGGUCAAACAGACAGACAGACGGUAUUGUUUCCCUGGUCUUCCUCAAAACUUCGGCCAUUAAAAGCGGAGUGGCAGAGGGGAAACUGAGGAUUUCUUUUGUUUCCUUUUCGCUCGCCGGGACCUCUGGGGUAAAGGGUUAUUUUGGCAUUUUCGGUUUCUGUUUGACUGUCUGCCUUUGUGAAGAGGCUACACUUAUCUUUUGGGACUGAGAACUUGGAAGUGGAACAAAGCCUGACUGGGAAGGGGUGAGAGACCCUACUUUCAUAUCCCAGAUGGCAACCUACAGUGAACACAAUGGAAGAACUGGACUACUUGUGGGCAUGAAGGAGCCUU